RNAcentral lists this ribosomal RNA (254 nucleotides) under uncultured bacterium. RNAcentral describes it as "partial 16S ribosomal RNA". It matches the Rfam family "Bacterial small subunit ribosomal RNA", at positions 524 to 776 of the family's 1533-position model. The record is from RNAcentral.
UACGGGGGGAGCAAGCGUUGUUCGGAUUUACUGGGCGUAAAGGGCGCGUAGGCGGCCAGCACAAGUCAGUUGUGAAAUCUCCGAGCUUAACUCGGAAAGGUCAACUGAUACUGUGCGGCUAGAGUGCGGAAGGGGCAACUGGAAUUCUUGGUGUAGCGGUGAAAUGCGUAGAUAUCAAGAGGAACACCUGCGGCGAAGGCGGGUUGCUGGGCCGACACUGACGCUGAGGCGCGACAGCGUGGGGAGCAAACAGG